This 131-nucleotide small RNA is filed under the name Mytilus galloprovincialis (Mediterranean mussel). The record is from RNAcentral. Lineage: Eukaryota; Metazoa; Mollusca; Bivalvia; Mytilida; Mytilidae.
ACACUGGCUAUUAACCAAUCAAAACCCCGGAUUCUUACAUAAGGUGUAAUUAUUAUUGAAUAAUAAGCUUUUAAUAAUAAUUACACCUUAUGUAAGAAUCCGGGGUUUUGAUUGGUUAAUAGCCAGUGUAU